RNAcentral lists this ribosomal RNA (407 nucleotides) under uncultured bacterium. RNAcentral's name for it is "bacterial SSU rRNA". It matches the Rfam family "Bacterial small subunit ribosomal RNA", at positions 355 to 776 of the family's 1533-position model. The record is from RNAcentral.
UAGGGAAUAUUGCACAAUGGGGGAAACCCUGAUGCAGCAAUGCCGCGUGAAGGAUGAAGGUUUUCGGAUUGUAAACUUCUAUCGAUGGGGAAGAAAAAAAUGACGGUACCCAAGUAAGAAGCCCCGGCUAACUAUGUGCCAGCAGCCGCGGUAAUACAUAGGGGGCAAGCGUUAUCCGGAUUUACUGGGUGUAAAGGGUGCGUAGGCGGUUAGAUAAGUCAGAUGUGAAAACCCGGGGCUCAACCUCGGGAAUGCAUUUGAAACUGUUUGACUAGAGUAUGGGAGAGGUAAGUGGAAUUCCUAGUGUAGCGGUAAAAUGCGUAGAUAUUAGGAAGAACACCAGUGGCGAAGGCGACUUACUGGACCAAAACUGACGCUGAGGCACGAAAGCGUGGGGAGCAAACAGG